RNAcentral lists this ribosomal RNA (497 nucleotides) under uncultured bacterium. RNAcentral describes it as "partial 16S ribosomal RNA". It matches the Rfam family "Bacterial small subunit ribosomal RNA", at positions 28 to 507 of the family's 1533-position model. The record is from RNAcentral.
GAUGAACGCUGGCGGCGUGCCUAAUACAUGCAAGUCGAGCGAACAGAUAAGGAGCUUGCUCCUUUGACGUUAGCGGCGGACGGGUGAGUAACACGUGGGUAACCUACCUAUAAGACUGGGAUAACUUCGGGAAACCGGAGCUAAUACCGGAUAAUAUUUCGAACCGCAUGGUUCGAUAGUGAAAGAUGGUUUUGCUAUCACUUAUAGAUGGACCCGCGCCGUAUUAGCUAGUUGGUAAGGUAACGGCUUACCAAGGCGACGAUACGUAGCCGACCGGUGAGGGGGAUCGGCAACACUGGAACUGGAACACGGUCCAGACUCCUACGGGAGGCAGCAGUAGGGAAUCUUCCGCAAUGGGCGAAGGCCUGACGGAGCAACGCCGCGUGAGUGAUGAAGGUCUUCGGAUCGUAAAACUCUGUUAUUAGGGAAGAACAUACGUGUAAGUAACUGUGCACGUCUUGACGGUACCUAAUCAGAAAGCCACGGCUAACUACGUG